This is a long non-coding RNA of Oncorhynchus keta (chum salmon), 804 nucleotides long. RefSeq lists it as uncharacterized. The transcript has 7 exons. Lineage: Eukaryota; Metazoa; Chordata; Actinopteri; Salmoniformes; Salmonidae. The record is from RefSeq and is a predicted model, not a curated record.
UCUCUCUCUCCUCCCCGUUUUCUCUAGGUUUUGGUGUUUUUCUCCUCCCUUCUCCUCCUCUCUCUCUCUCUCCUCCCCGUUUUCUCUAGGUUUUGGUGUUUUUCUCCUCCCUUCUCCUCCUCUCUCUCUCUCCUCCCCGUUUUCUCUAGGUUUUGGUGUUUUUCUCCUCCCUUCUCCUCCUCUCUCUCUCUCUCCUCCCCGUUUUCUCUAGGUUUUGGUGUUUUUCUCCUCCCUUCUCCUCCUCUCUCUCUCUCUCCUCCCCGUUUUCUCUAGGUUUUGGUGUUUUUCUCCUCCCUUCUCCUCCUCUCUCUCUCUCCUCCCCGUUUUCUCUAGGUUUUGGUGUUUUUCUCCUCCCUUCUCCUCCUCUCUCUCUCUCUCCUCCCCGUUUUCUCUAGGUUUUGGUGUUUUUCUCCUCCCUUCUCCUCCUCUCUCUCUCUCCUCCCCGUUUUCUCUAGGUUUUGGUGUUUUUCUCCUCCCUUCUCCUCCUCUCUCUCUCUCUCCUCCCCGUUUUCUCUAGGUUUUGGUGUUUUUCUCCUCCCUUCUCCUCCUCUCUCUCUCUCUCCUCCCCGUUUUCUCUAGGUUUUGGUGUUUUUCUCCUCCCUUCUCCUCCUCUCUCUCUCUCUCCUCCCCGUUUUCUCUAGGUUUUGGUGUUUUUCUCCUCCCUUCUCCUCCUCUCUCUCUCUCUCCUCCCCGUUUUCUCUAGGUUUUGGUGUUUUUCUCCUCCCUUCUCCUCCUCUCUCUCUCUCCUCCCCGUUUUCUCUAGGUUUUGGUGUUUUUCUCCUCCCUUCUCCUCCUCUCUCUCUC